UACGUAGGGGGCAAGCGUUGUCCGGAAUCAUUGGGCGUAAAGAGCGUGUAGGCGGCUUGUUAAGUCUGCGUGAAAUCUCGGGGCUCAACCCCGAGCGGUCGUGAGAAACUGGCAGGCUAGAGUGCGGGAGAGGAGAGUGGAAUUCCGGGUGUGAGCGGUGAAUGCGUAGAGAUCCGGAAGAACACCGGAGGCGAAGGCGGCUGCUGGGCAUUGCUGACGCGAGGCGC
RNAcentral lists this ribosomal RNA (227 nucleotides) under uncultured bacterium. RNAcentral's name for it is "partial 16S ribosomal RNA". It matches the Rfam family "Bacterial small subunit ribosomal RNA", at positions 524 to 754 of the family's 1533-position model. The record is from RNAcentral.